This 204-nucleotide long non-coding RNA is filed under the name Elaeis guineensis (African oil palm). RNAcentral describes it as "long non-coding RNA (EGUI_LNC040620)". Lineage: Eukaryota; Viridiplantae; Streptophyta; Magnoliopsida; Arecales; Arecaceae. The record is from RNAcentral.
UUUGAACAUACUUCAAAUACCUAAUUUCUCAUGCGAUCGACUCGUACUCACCAGACAUGCUACCUUGCACACCGUGUGCUUACGGUUAUAAUUUAAAACACAUCAUAACCUGACACCAACCAUCUUUUUUCUUUGCUCACUUUCAUUGGGGAUCUAUUCAAGACUUAGAGAAUAGAGAAUUUUAUUAACUAUUUAAUGAGUGUA